CAAACCAUGUUUAAUCAAAGUUUCUGACAGACCUGUUAACACAUUUCAGAUGCACAGACAGUGUAGGAAUAACUUAUAAAACCAUUUGAACUGUUUAACUGAGGAGUUUCAGGUCAUCACAAACAAAAGCACCGUCGCCUGCGGCCGCAAAGAGUGUUGCUUUCAUAUUCCAACCUUUAUUCAGAGUUGACAGAUAGAUCAUUGUUCUCUACCGACAGCAUCUGUGUCUACAGACCCAACCCGCACCUCAUACAGGAGCCGAAGAGACUCAUCGGUCAGUAAAACAUAUCUACAAGUAUGUGAAACAUGUUUAAAAAAAACUUAGAACAGACCUUGAUAAGGAAUUAUUUGGGGUAAAAACUGUCAACAGAUAAAACAUUUGAUCAGAAAAACCAGGUGGUGAAAAAUUCACUGUAAAUGAAAAAAAUAAAAAUAAAUCAUGAGCAUAUAACAAUUCUGAGAUGUUUAUUUUUAACCAAAAAUAUGUGGCUGUUCUAUAAUGAAAUCAUUUGAAUCUCUGAAUGCUGUAAGAAUCAUCCAAGCGGCUAGCCGUCUAAAUAGAGAACACGAGUGAGGACUAGCAGAGGUGGAGAUAUGACAUGUGCACAAUGAGACAUCGGGUAAACUACUCGCAUCACAACGGCAGCUCUUAGCUAUACUGCACAACGUCAACUGGGACACAGGGGGACUGUUGGAUUUAAAAUCAUAACUCAAGGAGCAGACAUGUCACUUCAGCAACCUGGGGGAAUAUUUAAAUGCAUGAUUCAUGUUAAAAAACCGAAGGUCUUUUACAUACGUGUAUUGCAGCAGAACCAGGCUGGUUCUGUUUCUAUCUCCUGUCUGACACACAGAACGUCAUUGAAGAGUCACUCCAGUGUUUAAGUAAUGCAACUCAACAAAGUAGCGGGAGUUGAGAGACAGAUUUAAGUAUAAGCGUCAGAAUGUGUGCAGCAGAAGCUGAAAUAUCCACAGAAAUGAAUAACUGUAUUUUUAUAAUCAUUACUUUUGUCUCCAAGAUGGCUCGUGGUCCAAAAAAAUGGGAUCGUACACUUACACCGAUCAUGUAACGGAUUUGCACAUUUUAUUAGAUCCUCCCAAACUUUCAAAAGACUUUUUAGUGCAUUACUAUGAGUGGAACUCAGUCGGGUAAACAGCUGAUAUCAUUUUAAAUUACUUUGUGCAAUUUAAUCUAUCUUUAGAAAACAGGUUAGUUCUAAGGGCAAACAUGAAUAACAGGCAAAAAACAUUUCCCCAACGCCACCAGGACAUUGGUUAGAGAAAUUCCUUCAUCCCUGAACAUGUCUUUUCUCUUGGGUUAUGAUUCUAAACUUUUUCAAAGUACCAAAAAGCCACAUGAGCAAUACUUUAAAAUACUCUAAAACAGAUUCUAUUUUAAAAAACAUCACGCUAUUGUACAUAUUUAAUGAGUCUGUCUUGUUAACCAGCAAUCCAUGGAUGCCUGGAGAGUUGUAAAGACAGUUUUCAUAGAUAGAAACAUAUAAAAGCAUUCAGACUGACAAUAGGAAAGACAGAGCACACUGUAAAAGACUGGAUAGCCGGGGCGGGAUCAGGCCUAACAUGUGGAUCAAAACCUUCUAAAGUAACUGACACUUUGAGUCAUGUGUACAAAUUAGCACACGUUACAAAUGAGUUUGUGCAGUUUCAGUAUGGCUGCUGUACAUGGACUACAAAUGUGGCGAUAACACACAUCCAAGCAGAGGAUGAAAACGUGUCCACGAAUUGAACAAAAAAGAAAAAGAAAACAGGUCCAUAGUUGCAAUCCACUUGUUAAUGAAAAUGAACUGGUAUUAUCAAAGAUAUACAAACAAAGAAUCCCACAUUAGGCUUCUUCUGCACCAUGUACACCGACCCAACAUAUUGUAUGUACAAAAUGAGCAUUUGUUUGUAUUGGUUAUUGCAUGCAGUAUCAGACAAAUGGCGUACCUUUACAUUUUCAAUUGAGGCCAAGCGCUUACGACAAAACGUAUCAAGGUCUCAGCUCUCCGGCGGUCGUUAUCAACUAUUUCAGCUGUUCACGGCGGGCCGACGGCUUUCACUUUAGGCAAAUGCUUUUUGGACACGGUGGCCGAGGUGCCAGCGUGUAGUGCAGCGAGUGCUCGGUGAGAGACGCCGAUACGCUUCUGAACAGCAAGUUUAUCCGUUAUGAGGACUUGGAGACGUUUCCCCCGUCGACCUCAGAGUCUCUAGGCAUCUUUUAGCGUCAGCAGAGAUCAAUCAUCAACAACUUUGUUUGAAUAAGUCGUCCAUACAAAUCCCCAAACAGCGAUGUGCUUCAUAGAGCAUUCACAAGUUCUCCCUCGUCUCCUGUGGAGAACGGGGUGAGAUUCUGUUGCGACGGGUGCACGAGCCACGUAGGCACAUAGGUUUAUCUGCGAAGCCUCAUCAGUCUCUCCCCCAUUUCUGAAGAACUGUGAUGGAGACGGUUUUCCGUCCAUCGUCCUGUCAACGCAUUGCAGCGAAGCGCCAGGGGAACGGAAAGUUAUUUGGUAGACCUCCCACCACAGAGGGAAUGCUGCGCGGUUUCUUCACGCAUUAAGAACAAUUCCUUCCACGAGAGAAAGUGAAUUUUCUUACAAUGUCUGUUUUUUUUUC
This is a long non-coding RNA of Gasterosteus aculeatus aculeatus (three-spined stickleback), 2613 nucleotides long. The record is from Ensembl. Lineage: Eukaryota; Metazoa; Chordata; Actinopteri; Perciformes; Gasterosteidae.